This is a long non-coding RNA of Beta vulgaris subsp. vulgaris (sugar beet), 586 nucleotides long. RefSeq lists it as uncharacterized. The transcript is spliced from 3 exons. The record is from RefSeq and is a predicted model, not a curated record. Lineage: Eukaryota; Viridiplantae; Streptophyta; Magnoliopsida; Caryophyllales; Amaranthaceae.
GGAGAAAUCGGGGAAGGAAUAACAGAAACAGAGGUGGUAAUAAUAAUCGUGGGGCAACAAUGCUCGGAAUAAUAAUGGUGGGAAUGGUGGCAACAAUAAUAAUCGUGGCCCUGGAGGAAACAACAACAACAAUGGUAAUCGGGGACGCUCAAAUGGGAGUAAUUCAUCAAAUAGUAACAAUGUUCCCUCUACCCCUACUUCCGAUACAUGUGGUUUGUGUUGGUUUCCAGGUUACCAAGCUGCCUACUGUCCCCAGCGUUUCAAUCAUAACUUUGUUUCAUCUUCCUCAGAAAGUGUCACUCGAGCCUUAGCUGCACUGUCUGUUGGUGGUGAAGCUAAUGACUCAGUCUGGUACCCGGAUUUGGGAGCUGCUUCUCACAUGACUCCUCAGGAUGGACUAGAUAACGGGGGAAGUUCUGCUUCAGGGAACCAGUAAACAAGGUGUCUACCCUCUUCAGCCCAGCAUUGUCCCUCCUGAGCCUUCCGUUCCUGCUUUCCUAGCCAUUAAGGAGUCGGGUGAUGUGUGGCAUGCUCGCCUGGGUCAUACAUCUUCUAGCAUUAUAGGAAAAUUAUGUUCCAAUAACUA